This 166-nucleotide unclassified non-coding RNA is filed under the name uncultured Humicola. Its description in RNAcentral is "sequence contains ITS1". The record is from RNAcentral. Lineage: Eukaryota; Fungi; Ascomycota.
AAGAGUUUAACUACUCAAACCAUUGUGAACCUUACCUCAACCGUUGCUUCGGCGGGCGGGCCCGGGCCAUGCCCGGCGCCCCCCCGGCCCUCGCGGGCGCCCGCCGGAGGUUAACCGAACCCUUGAAUUGUAUGGCCUCUCUGAGUCUUCUGUACUGAAUAAGUCA